GACGAACGCUGGCGGCGUGCUUAACACAUGCAAGUCGAGCGAUGAAGCUUCCUUCGGGAAGUGGAUUAGCGGCGGACGGGUGAGUAACACGUGGGUAACCUGCCUCAAAGUGGGGGAUAGCCUUCCGAAAGGAAGAUUAAUACCGCAUAAUAUGAGAGAAUCGCAUGAUUUUCUUAUCAAAGAUUUAUUGCUUUGAGAUGGACCCGCGGCGCAUUAGCUAGUUGGUAAGGUAAUGGCUUACCAAGGCAACGAUGCGUAGCCGAACUGAGAGGUUGGUCGGCCACAUUGGGACUGAGACACGGCCCAGACUCCUACGGGAGGCAGCAGUGGGGAAUAUUGCGCAAUGGGGGAAACCCUGACGCAGCAACGCCGCGUGGGUGAUGAAGGUCUUCGGAUUGUAAAGCCCUGUUUUCUGGGACGAUAAUGACGGUACCAGAGGAGGAAGCCACGGCUAACUACGUGC
Molecule: ribosomal RNA, 463 nt
Filed under: bacterium enrichment culture clone TC60a_753
Lineage: Bacteria
Description: bacterial SSU rRNA
Rfam family: Bacterial small subunit ribosomal RNA
Source: RNAcentral